UACCAGCUCUCCGAGUGGUGUGGAUGUUUAUUUGGCCUAAAGCAUCCGUAGCUGGCUGGGCAAGUCCCCUGUUAAAUCCACCGAUUUAAUCGUUGGAAUGCGGGGGAUACUGUUCGGCUAGGGGACGGGAGAGGCAGACGGUAUUUUCGGGGUAGGGGUGAAAUCCUAUAAUCCCGGGAAGACCACCAGUGGCGAAGGCUGUCUGCUAGAACGCGCCCGACGGUGAGGGAUGAAAGCUGGGGGAGCGAACCGGAUUAGAUACCCGGGUAGUCCCAGCUGUAAACGAUGCAGGCUAGGUGUUUGGGCGGCUACGUGCCGCUCUAGUGCCGCAGGGAAGCCGUUAAGCCUGCCGCCUGGGGAGUACGGCCGCAAGGCUGAGACUUAAAGGAAUUGGCGGGGAGCACCACGAAGGGGUGAAGCUUGCGGUUU
This 429-nucleotide ribosomal RNA is filed under the name uncultured archaeon. RNAcentral's name for it is "bacterial SSU rRNA". It matches the Rfam family "Archaeal small subunit ribosomal RNA", at positions 474 to 903 of the family's 1478-position model. The record is from RNAcentral.